Molecule: ribosomal RNA, 505 nt
Filed under: uncultured microorganism
Description: bacterial SSU rRNA
Rfam family: Bacterial small subunit ribosomal RNA
Source: RNAcentral
GAGUUUGAUCGUGGCUCAGGAUGAACGCUAGCGACAGGCCUAACACAUGCAAGUCGAGGGGCAUCGGGGGCGGAAGCUUGCUUCCGCCUGCCGGCGACCGGCGCACGGGUGAGUAACGCGUAUGCAACCUGCCCGGACCAGCGGGAUAACCCGGGGAAACCCGGCCUAAUACCGCACGGCGCCGCCGAGGGGCAUCCCUUGGCGGCUAAAGAAUCAUCGGGUCCGGAUGGGCAUGCGUGGCAUUAGCUUGUUGGCGGGGUAACGGCCCACCAAGGCGACGAUGCCUAGGGGUUCUGAGAGGAAGGUCCCCCACACUGGUACUGAGACACGGACCAGACUCCUACGGGAGGCAGCAGUGAGGAAUAUUGGGCAAUGGACGCAAGUCUGACCCAGCAACGCCGCGUGAAGGAAGAAGGCUUUCGGGUUGUAAACUUCUUUAAGGGGAAGAGCAGAAGACGGUACCCCUUGAAUAAGCCACGGCUAACUACGUGCCAGCCGCCGCCGU